RNAcentral lists this non-coding RNA (113 nucleotides) under Corallococcus coralloides. RNAcentral's name for it is "TPP sequence". It matches the Rfam family "TPP riboswitch aptamer (THI element)". Rfam says of the family: Vitamin B(1) in its active form thiamin pyrophosphate (TPP) is an essential coenzyme that is synthesised by coupling of pyrimidine and thiazole moieties in bacteria. Lineage: Bacteria; Pseudomonadati; Myxococcota; Myxococcia; Myxococcales; Myxococcaceae. RNAcentral also lists the same sequence under 1 other name. The record is from RNAcentral.
CGCAGUCGCUAGGGGUGCCUCCGGAAGGGGGCUGAGACGGACGCGUGGCCGCGUCCGAUCCCUUUGAACCUGAACCGGUUAGUACCGGCGGAGGGAAGCGGUGUGGGCGCUCC